This 1119-nucleotide long non-coding RNA is filed under the name Oncorhynchus mykiss (rainbow trout). Its description in RNAcentral is "lncRNA (ENSOMYG00000049826.1)". The record is from RNAcentral. Lineage: Eukaryota; Metazoa; Chordata; Actinopteri; Salmoniformes; Salmonidae.
AUGUCCAGCAAAGAAGACAAAGUGAAAAGUGAGUCCAGUAUAAUACGUUUUGAAAGAAAAAGUACCACUACUGAGUCUGCCACAAGAGGAAAUGACAGAAGAAGUACUGAGUCUGCCACAAGAGGAAACAGAAGAAGUACUGAGUCUGCCACCAGAGGAAAUGACAGAAGAAGUACUGAUUCUGCCACAAGAGGAAACAGAAGAAGUACUGAGUCUGCCACAAGAGGAAACGACAGAAGAAGAACUGAUUCUGCCACAAGAGGAAACGACAGAAGAAGUACUGAUUCUGCCACAAGAGGAAACGACAGAAGAAGUACUGGGUCUGCCACAAGAGGAAAUGACAGAAGAAGUACUGAUGAGUCUGCCACAAGAGGGAAUGACAGAAGAAAUACUGAUUCUGCCACAAGAGGAAACGACAGAAGAAGUACUGGGUCUGCCACAAGAGGAAACAGAAGAAGUACUGAGUCUGCCACAAGAGGAAAUGACAGAAGAAGUACUGAGUCUGCCACAAGAGGAAAUGACAGAAGAAGUACUGGGUCUGCCACAAGAGGAAAUGACAGAAGAAGUACUGAGUCUGCCACAAGAGGAAAUGACAGAAGUACUGAGUCUGCCACAAGAGGAAAUGACAGGAGGAGUACUGAGUCUGCCACAAGAGAUGACAGAAGAUCACCAAGCACAGGGAAAGAAAAAAGGAACACGAAACGGAGCCACAGUAGAUCAUCUUCCUCAUCCAGCUCAUCAUCAUCAUCCUCCUCGUCAUCCUCCUCAUCCUCAUCCCACUCUUCAUCCCACAGUAGGAGAUGUUCCAGCAGUAGUGAUUCCCACAACAAAUCCAGAAGGAAUUCUAAGAAAAGGAAAAAGGAAAAACAACACAAGAAGAAAGGGAAAAAGGAGAAGAAGCAUAAACAAAAGAAGGACAAGAAAAUGACACCAGAGGAGGAAAGCGCUGGACCUGGACCUAUUCAGAUCUCCAAGUAUUUAAAGGAGAGGAGGAGAAAAGGCAAGUACAGCAUGAUCACAGGAAAGAAGAUCAAAAUGAAAUUAAAGAAGUCCAAGAAAGACAAGCUGAGGGACAAGAAUCGCGCCGAACUGCUUGAGUUCCUCAACUCCACGUUGUAA